GAUGAACGCUGGCGGCGUGCUUAACACAUGCAAGUCGAACGGAAAGGCCCAAGCUUGCUUGGGUACUCGAGUGGCGAACGGGUGAGUAACACGUGGGUGAUCUGCCCUUCACUUCGGGAUAAGCCUUGGAAACUGGGGCUAAUACCGGAUAGGACCACAUUUUGGAUGGGGUGGUGGAAAGUUUUUCGGUGUGGGAUGAGCUCGCGGCCUAUCAGCUUGUUGGUGGGGUAAUGGCCUACCAAGGCGUCGACGGGUAGCCGGCCUGAGAGGGUGUACGGCCACAUUGGGACUGAGAUACGGCCCAGACUCCUAAGGGAGGCAGCAGUGGGGAAUAUUGCACAAUGGGCGCAAGCCUGAUGCAGCGACGCCGCGUGGGGGAUGACGGCCUUCGGGUUGUAAACUCCUUUCGCUAGGGACGAAGCGUUUUUGUGACGGUACCUGGAGAAGAAGCACCGGCUAACUACGUG
This 467-nucleotide ribosomal RNA is filed under the name uncultured bacterium. RNAcentral describes it as "partial 16S ribosomal RNA". It matches the Rfam family "Bacterial small subunit ribosomal RNA", at positions 28 to 507 of the family's 1533-position model. The record is from RNAcentral.